RNAcentral lists this ribosomal RNA (453 nucleotides) under uncultured bacterium. Its description in RNAcentral is "bacterial SSU rRNA". It matches the Rfam family "Bacterial small subunit ribosomal RNA", at positions 335 to 799 of the family's 1533-position model. The record is from RNAcentral.
ACUCCUACGGGAGGCAGCAGUGGGGAAUAUUGCACAAUGGGCGGAAGCCUGAUGCAGCAACGCCGCGUGAGGGAUGACGGCCUUCGGGUUGUAAACCUCUUUUAGCAAGGAAGAAGCGAAAGUGACGGUACUUGCAGAAAAAGCGCCGGCUAACUACGUGCCAGCAGCCGCGGUAAUACGUAGGGCGCAAGCGUUAUCCGGAAUUAUUGGGCGUAAAGAGCUCGUAGGCGGUUUGUCGCGUCUGCUGUGAAAACCGGAGGCUCAACCUCCGGCCUGCAGUGGGUACGGGCAGACUAGAGUGCGGUAGGGGAGAUUGGAAUUCCUGGUGUAGCGGUGGAAAUGCGCAGAUAUCAGGAGGAACACCGAUGGCGAAGGCAGAUCUCUGGGCCGUAACUGACGCUGAGGAGCGAAAGGGUGGGGAGCAAACAGGCUUAGAUACCCUGGUAGCUCGAU